RNAcentral lists this ribosomal RNA (252 nucleotides) under uncultured bacterium. Its description in RNAcentral is "partial 16S ribosomal RNA". It matches the Rfam family "Bacterial small subunit ribosomal RNA", at positions 524 to 776 of the family's 1533-position model. The record is from RNAcentral.
UACAGAGGUCUCAAGCGUUGUUCGGAUUCAUUGGGCGUAAAGGGUGUGUAGGCGGGGUCGUUAGUCUUCUGUCAAAAUCUUGGGCUUAACCCAAGACUUGCAGUGGAACGGCGAGCCUUGAGGGUGCGAGGGGUGAAUGGAACUCAUGGAGUAGGGGUGAAAUCCGUUGAUAUCAUGGGGAACACCAAAAGCGAAGGCAAUUCACUGGCGCAUUUCUGACGCUGAAACACGAAAGCGUGGGUAGCGAACGGG